UUGUAGUCUGCAACCCGACUACAUGAAGCUGGAAUCGCUAGUAAUCGCGGAUCAGAAUGCCGCGGUGAAUACGUUCCCGGGUCUUGUACACACCGCCCGUCACACCAUGGGAGUCGGAAAUGCCCGAAGUCGGUGACCGAACCGAAAGGAAGGAGCCGCCGAAGGCAGGUCUGGUGACUGGGGUGAAGUCGUAACAAGGUACC
RNAcentral lists this ribosomal RNA (203 nucleotides) under uncultured bacterium. RNAcentral describes it as "partial 16S ribosomal RNA". It matches the Rfam family "Bacterial small subunit ribosomal RNA", at positions 1298 to 1500 of the family's 1533-position model. The record is from RNAcentral.